Molecule: ribosomal RNA, 350 nt
Filed under: uncultured bacterium
Lineage: Bacteria
Description: partial 16S ribosomal RNA
Rfam family: Bacterial small subunit ribosomal RNA
Source: RNAcentral
CCUACGGGAGGCAGCAGUAGGGAAUAUUGCUCAAUGGGGGAAACCCUGAAGCAGCAACGCCGCGUGGAGGAUGACGGUUUUCGGAUUGUAAACUCCUUUUGUUAGAGAAGAUAAUGACGGUAUCUAACGAAUAAGCACCGGCUAACUCCGUUCCCGCAGCCGCGGUAAUACGGAGGGUGCAAGGGUUACUCGGAAUCACUGGCGUAAAGAGAGCGUAGGCGGGAUAGAAAGUCAGAUGUGAAAUCCUAUGGCUUAACCAUAGAACUGCAUUUGACACUGUUAUUCUAGAGUAUGGGAGAGGUAGGUGGAAUUCGUGGUGUAGGGGUACAAUGCGUAGAGAUCAAGAGGAA